AUUAUACUCCCUCCGUCCCAAAAUUCUUGUCUUAGAUUUAUCUAGAUAUAAAUGUAUCUAGUCAUGUUUUAGUAUUUAGAUACAUUCAUUUCUAAAUAAACAUAAGGUACGAAUUUUGGGACGGAGGGAGUAGAUC
Hordeum vulgare subsp. vulgare (domesticated barley) is the source of this 136-nucleotide non-coding RNA. The record is from Rfam. Lineage: Eukaryota; Viridiplantae; Streptophyta; Magnoliopsida; Poales; Poaceae.